ACUCCUACGGGAGGCAGCAGUAGGGAAUCUUCGGCAAUGGACGAAAGUCUGACCGAGCAACGCCGCGUGAGUGAAGAAGGUUUUCGGAUCGUAAAAACUCUGUUGGUAGAGAAGAACGUUGGUGAGAGUGGAAAGCUCAUCAAGUGACGGUAACUACCCAGAAAGGGACGGCUAACUACGUGCCAGCAGCCGCGGUAAUACGUAGGUCCCGAGCGUUGUCCGGAUUUAUUGGGCGUAAAGCGAGCGCAGGUGGUUUCUUAAGUCUGAUGUAAAAGGCAGUGGCUCAACCAUUGUGUGCAUUGGAAACUGGGAGACUUGAGUGCAGGAGAGGAGAGUGGAAUUCCAUGUGUAGCGGUGAAAUGCGUAGAUAUAUGGAGGAACACCGGAGGCGAAAGCGGCUCUCUGGCCUGUAACUGACACUGAGGCUCGAAAGCGUGGGGAGCAAACAGGAUUAGAUACCCUGGUAGGAUAGCG
This 474-nucleotide ribosomal RNA is filed under the name uncultured bacterium. RNAcentral's name for it is "bacterial SSU rRNA". It matches the Rfam family "Bacterial small subunit ribosomal RNA", at positions 335 to 799 of the family's 1533-position model. The record is from RNAcentral.